GCUAAGUUCAUAUCACUUACGAUUUUCUUCUUGAAGGUUUGUCAUCAUUAAAAUUCCAGCUUCUUGAUGGAUUUUGUUCCAACAUAUGGUUGUUAGAGGGAUUUUCAAACACAUUCAAAACUGCAUGAGCUUCCCUUUCAUCUAUCUGUAUGUCAAUUGUUUUUCCUCCAACUUCUCCAGCUUCUCAACUUUGGCUACUACAUUUUUCUACUAUUUUCUACUAUACAGCUUGC
RNAcentral lists this long non-coding RNA (233 nucleotides) under Glycine max (soybean). RNAcentral's name for it is "long non-coding RNA (GMAX_LNC001979)". The record is from RNAcentral. Lineage: Eukaryota; Viridiplantae; Streptophyta; Magnoliopsida; Fabales; Fabaceae.